Molecule: ribosomal RNA, 309 nt
Filed under: Triticum aestivum (bread wheat)
Lineage: Eukaryota; Viridiplantae; Streptophyta; Magnoliopsida; Poales; Poaceae
Description: partial small subunit ribosomal RNA
Source: RNAcentral
AUGUUUGACGGAGUUGAGCGGAUGCUUCGGGGAGUCAGGCAUGUGCCGGGGCUAAGGAGGAAUCUAAUUUCGCUUGGUGUUCUUCAUGAUGGUGGUAUGGUAUUCCGUUGUGAUCGGGAUAGGAAGACCAUGAGAAUCAUGGAAGAUGAGGUGACCGUGAUGAUUGGAGGGAGGACGGCUUCGCAUCUUUACAAGUUGCAAGGUAGCACUAUUGCAGGUGGAGUCACGGAGACUGGAGUUGCGGGAGUAGCAGCGGGGUCUCACGGCGGCGGCGGGUCUGGGGCAGACUCGUCGAGUAGCUCUCAGUAA